AGUGCUAUGAUGAGAUUAAAACACCAGGAAGUGUUAUUAGGCAGUGGACGAAAUCAAAUGGUUUCGCCGUGAGCUUAUUUUUAAAACGACUUCUCCUUCCACUGAGCACU
Trifolium pratense (red clover) is the source of this 110-nucleotide small nucleolar RNA. RefSeq annotates it as small nucleolar RNA Z152/R70/R12. The record is from RefSeq and is a predicted model, not a curated record. Lineage: Eukaryota; Viridiplantae; Streptophyta; Magnoliopsida; Fabales; Fabaceae. The transcript has a single exon.